AACGAACGCUGGCGGCAUGCCUAACACAUGCAAGUCGAACGAGACCUUCGGGUCUAGUGGCGCACGGGUGCGUAACGCGUGGGAACCUGCCCUUAGGUUCGGAAUAACUCCCCGAAAGGGGUGCUAAUACCGGAUAAUGUCUUCGGACCAAAGAUUUAUCGCCUUUGGAUGGGCCCGCGUUGGAUUAGCUUGUUGGUAGGGUAAAAGCCUACCAAGGCGACGAUCGAUAGCUGGUCUGAGAGGAUGAUCAGCCACACUGGGACGGAGACAAGGCCCAGACUCCUACGGGACGCAGCAGUGGGGAAUAUUGCAAUAUGGGCGGAAGCCUGAUGCAGUCACGCCGCGUGCGGGAUGAAGGCCGUCGGGUUGUAAACCGAUUUCGCCGGUGACGAAGCGUGAGUGACGGGAAUGGGUAAAGAAGCACCGGCUAGCUACGUG
RNAcentral lists this ribosomal RNA (438 nucleotides) under uncultured bacterium. Its description in RNAcentral is "partial 16S ribosomal RNA". It matches the Rfam family "Bacterial small subunit ribosomal RNA", at positions 29 to 507 of the family's 1533-position model. The record is from RNAcentral.